Molecule: ribosomal RNA, 468 nt
Filed under: uncultured bacterium
Lineage: Bacteria
Description: partial 16S ribosomal RNA
Rfam family: Bacterial small subunit ribosomal RNA
Source: RNAcentral
GACGAACGCUGGCGGCGUGCUUAACACAUGCAAGUCGAACGGAAAGGCCCUGCUUUUGUGGGGUGCUCGAGUGGCGAACGGGUGAGUAACACGUGAGUAACCUGCCCUUGACUUUGGGAUAACUUCAGGAAACUGGGGCUAAUACCGGAUAGGAGCUCCUGCUGCAUGGUGGGGGUUGGAAAGUCUCGGCGGUUGGGGCUGGACUCGCGGCUUAUCAGCUUGUUGGUGGGGUAGUGGCUUACCAAGGCUUUGACGGGUAGCCGGCCUGAGAGGGUGGCCGGCCACAUUGGGACUGAGAUACGGCCCAGACUCCUACGGGAGGCAGCAGUGGGGAAUAUUGCACAAUGGGCGGAAGCCUGAUGCAGCAACGCCGCGUGCGGGAUGACGGCCUUCGGGUUGUAAACCGCUUUCGCCUGUGACGAAGCGUGAGUGACGGUAAUGGGUAAAGAAGCACCGGCUAACUACGUG